UUGUGGAGGAGGACGCCGAAGGUGGGGCUAAUGACUGGGGUGAAGUCGUAACAAGGUAGCCGUACCGGAAGGUGCGGCUGGAUCACCUCCUAACAGGGAGACAACAAAAUGUUUAAUAUUAUUAUUUUGUCACCUUAGGUCGAUCGGUAUCUCACGUUCUUAAUUUAUUAAGAAUUUCAUUUUCUAAGUUUUUCUAGGUCACACCCAUUAUUUUUCCUGGGCCAUUAGCUCAGGUGGUUAGAGCGCACCCCUGAUAAGGGUGAGGUCCCUGGUUCAAGUCCAGGAUGGCCCAUAUCUCUAUGUUGGGGGUAUAGCUCAGUUGGUAGAGCGCCUGCUUUGCAAGCAGGAUGUCAGCGGUUCGAGUCCGCUUACCUCCACUGAUUACCACCUCUUCCAUAACAGGUAGUAAAGGAAAUGUUUUGAGUUGUGAUCAAAUUCUGAAAGAAUCUAGCUUCCUAAUGAAAUCAUUAAGAUGCUGGACUCAUUGAAUUAAUUUCAUUGUUUUCAGAGAACCUUGACAACUGCAUAGAUUAUUUUUAAAGACAAUAAGCAUCUUUAAUGAUGCAGAUUUAUUAUUUGUGCGAAUGCAUUAAUAACAAUUCUAUUAAGCUGAUGCUUCAAUUUUGAAGUUAUUGGUCAAGCUACAA
RNAcentral lists this unclassified non-coding RNA (647 nucleotides) under uncultured Prochlorococcus sp. RNAcentral's name for it is "partial 16S-23S ribosomal RNA intergenic spacer; may also contain 16S ribosomal RNA and 23S ribosomal RNA". The stretch from base 305 to 377 matches the Rfam family "tRNA". The record is from RNAcentral. Lineage: Bacteria; Bacillati; Cyanobacteriota; Cyanophyceae; Synechococcales; Prochlorococcaceae.